CUAUUUCAUAUUUAUUUAUAUAUCGANUGGAAAAAAUCGACAUUGUUGAUAGAAAAGCGUGAGAGUUUCUGUUGUUCAGGAUGAGAGCUAAGUGGAAGAAGAAGCGUAUGAGGAGGUUGAAGAGGAAGCGCCGAAAGAUGAGACAGAGAUCUAAGUAGGUGCUUGAGCAGGAGUCAGAUGAGCUUUCCUUCCUAUACCUAGUUCAUGGCAUUUUGGGUUUUAUGGCUCGAAUGAUCUUGAGGUCUAGUUGGGAGGGGAGGCAUAUCUCACGACUCAGUUAGCAUUACUGCAUUAAGACUAUUGAGUGGGUUAAGUUGUUAUGAUAAGUGUUUUAUCGUAUCUAAUUAUGUACUGAUUUUGUAUACUUCUUGGUUUAUCCGAAUAGCUUAUAUAUCGUAAGAGUUUCCUGAAA
Molecule: non-coding RNA, 412 nt
Organism: Vigna umbellata (rice bean)
Lineage: Eukaryota; Viridiplantae; Streptophyta; Magnoliopsida; Fabales; Fabaceae
Source: RefSeq, a predicted model, not a curated record